Molecule: long non-coding RNA, 2501 nt
Filed under: Gallus gallus (chicken)
Lineage: Eukaryota; Metazoa; Chordata; Aves; Galliformes; Phasianidae
Source: RNAcentral
GUUCAAGUCACCAAUAUGACUCAAGGCAUACUUUAUUUAAGUACAAGAUUCCAAGUUUCACAGUUUUGGUUAAAGUUCUGAAUCCAUAUCAUACAGUAAUAUCAACAUAUUAUAAUUUACUAUUUCUGUAAUAACUAAAUGUACCUGUAGAAUCUGUCAUGGUAAUGCUUGUAUAUUUAAUAGUUUUUUCACAGAUUCCUUAUAUUGAGACAUAUUACUUUCAGUUUCACCUUCAUUUUUAAGUGCAAUUACAGAGUUUCUGUAAUUCCUCACUACUUCAGAUGCAAGAAGCUCUUCUUUAGUUACAUUACUGACAUUUUCCGUGGCUUUUAUUUGAAGAAGAGUAUCCAGGGCAUUUUUCUGAGAGGAGCUGUUUUCCCAGAUAUACUCUUCCAUGUCUUCCUCAGUCUUCUCACUCUCCCACGCCUCAGUUUUCCAGGAUUCAUGGUACAGAACUGUGAGGAGAUGUAUUCCAUAAUCAUAAUUCUGUCUUCUUAGUGGACACCUGUCUGUUAUAAUUGUGAGUACAUCUGUAUCCUUGCAGUAGCGCUUUCCUACAAGUUUAAUGAGCUUCUUCUUUGCAUGGUCAUCCAAAUUCAGGUUAGAAAGUUUAACCCUUAAAGUCACUAUUCUUGCUUUGGGAUUACGAAUAGAUGUACCUGCAGAAACAUAAUCCACUGUCUCAAUUUCAACAGGAAAAUGCUGUUCGCAUUUCUCAUCACCAUCCAAAGCACUUGGCCAUUCAGUGCAGAAAUCUCUGAGAGCUGCACAGUGUUUCUUAAUUGCAGGAGGAGUAAGAUGUAAAAAAUUGGGAAUCUUUAUAAGCUCUAAGUUGCCUUCUUUUGGUGGAGGUACUCCUCCCUUCACCGGGUAGCCCAUUCGAAUUGGGAGAGGCACGGAUGCAGGUUUAAAUGCAGCUGCUGUUGGAUAAACACUGCUCCAGUCCUGGUCAACAGCCAUCCUCUCAGUUCUGGGAGGUAUAUGCGAUCUUAUCAACUGUGACAUCCUGCCUCUUCUCCUUGUUGAAACUUCCCUCUGCUGGGCUUCCCUGCUGCUCGCAGCUGGUGUAGAGAAGUAAGCUGCUACCUCUGCCCGCCAGCAGCACCGGGCCAGCGCGGGCCAGCGGCUCGAGCCAGACAACACCCAGCACGCUGCCGCCAUCUUUGGAAGAGCAGCUGCAUGCGAUAUUUCCCGCCUACAAAGGGGAAGGGCAAGCUUAGCAGAACACCGAAAGUGAUUCGUCUCCUUCUGGAAGAGAAGCAGGAUGGGUAAGGAGAGGGAGAAAAAGUCGGAAAUUGAGUUCAGCUUGUUUAUUUUGUUUGCCAUGUUAUCGUGCUUUGCGCAGCAGCGAUCGGGUUCCCCGGACGUAGCCGGUCCCUAGGCGAGGAGUGUCGGGUUAGAGUUAAGCUCCCUAAGGAAUUGUUUUCGUUUCACGAAUAAAAAAUAAAAUAAAUAAAUAAUAAAAAACCAAAAAAAAAAAAAAACAAAACAAAAAAACACGUAACUUCUCAGUACCUUCGUAUGAAUUCUUUUGCUCUUUACAUCCCCAAAGCAGGGGAGGAUCACUGAUAGAGAGAGGUGACAAGGACACAGGCAGGCUCAAGAAAUUGAAGGCAUGCGUGAAAGAGAAAUUAAGUGAAAGAGUAGAGGUCCGCAACGUGGGAUGAGGUAGGUCAGGUGUAAGUGUACCUCCCACCAGUAGUGGUAAGUCUGCGCAGGAUAAGGGCAGUUCUCUGUGGGGACGGUUCAGCUGCCCCUGUGAUGGAAGCUCACUGGAUUGCUGUGCAGGCGCAGCAUUUUAAAUCUCUUUUAAAGAGAAUGAGUUUCUUGCUAGUGGUGCAGUCAGGAAGUUCCAUGCUCGACUUUGAGUGUUUGGUACUGCAAAGAUAAGGGAAGGUUUUUUUGCAGGAUAGUGAUAUUUCCUAGCACUUCAUAAGAAAUUAUUUUUCCUUAGCUAAAACGUGAACGGAUUCUGACCUGCCGGGGUAUGAACUGGAAACCAAUGAUCACACUGUCAUAUAUGUAAAUCAACCUGUAAGUGACUAGAUCACUUCAAUUUCAGUUUAUUUAUUUAGUUAGUUAGUUUCUCAGAAACAGUUGAAAACAGCUCUGAUAGGGUGAGGUUCUUUUGUUGUUGUUGUUGUUGUUGUUUUUUUUUUUGGUAGCAAUAUACAAGUAGUAUACUUGUAUUGCUGGCCACAGUCAAGUGCUUCAAAUUACAACAUACCAAUAAUGUAGUUUGCCUUGUUAUUAUUAAUAGAGCAUCUGCAAUGGCUCCACAAUCACUUCAUCCAGAUUAACAUAAUCAUUGUUCAGAAUGCACUAUUAGUAAUGGAUAAUUUUUAAUGGCUAAAAAUAAUUACAGGAUAAACUUUUCAAUUGAAAACUUUCUGCAAAAUUUCUGUUUUGGUUCAUUCACCUCAUUUCUAACAGCAGUUGGUAAAAGGACAAAACAAAGUAUCUUGAAAUUUUUAGGAAGGUAAUUUUAAUGCUAAAUGCCC